UAUACGACCGUACCGUAAACCGACACUGGUGCGCGAGAUGAGUAUUCUAAGGCGCUUGAGAGAACUCAGGAGAAGGAACUCGGCAAAUUGACACCGUAACUUCGGAAGAAGGUGUGCCCUAUUAGUGUGUAGCGAACAACGAAGCAUGAAUGGGUUGCAAAAAAUCGGUGGCUGCGACUGUUUAUUAAAAACACAGCACUCUGCAAACACGAAAGUGGACGUAUAGGGUGUGACGCCUGCCCGGUGCUGGAAGAUUAAAUGAUGGGGUGCAAGCUCUUGAUUGAAGUCCCAGUAAACGGCGGCCGUAACAAUAACGGUCCUAAGGUAGCGAAAUUCCUUGUCGGGUAAGUUCCGACCUGCACGAAUGGCGUAACGAUGGCCACACUGUCUCCUCCUGAGACUCAGCGAAGUUGAAAUGUUUGUGAUGAUGCAAUCUCCCCGCGGAAAGACGGAAAGACCCCAUGAACCUUUACUGUAGCUUUGUAUUGGACUUUGAACAGAUCUGUGUAGGAUAGGUGGGAGGCUUUGAAGCAGGGUCGCUAGAUCUUGUGGAGCCAACGUUGAAAUACCACCCUGGUGUGUUUGAGGUUCUAACCUAGGUCCAUUAUCUGGAUCGGGGACAGUGCAUGGUAGGCAGUUUGACUGGGGCGGUCUCCUCCCAAAGCGUAACGGAGGAGUUCGAAGGUACGCUAGUUACGGUCGGACAUCGUGACGAUAGUGCAAUGGCAUAAGCGUGCUUAACUGCGAGACUGACAAGUCGAGCAGAUGCGAAAGCAGGACAUAGUGAUCCGGUGGUUCUGUAUGGAAGGGCCAUCGCUCAACGGAUAAAAGGUACUCUGGGGAUAACAGGCUGAUACCGCCCAAGAGUUCAUAUCGACGGCGGUGUUUGGCACCUCGAUGUCGGCUCAUCUCAUCCUGGGGCUGUAGCCGGUCCCAAGGGUAUGGCUGUUCGCCAUUUAAAGAGGUACGUGAGCCGGGUUUAAAACGUCGUGAGACAGUUUGGUCCCUAUCUUCCGUGGGCGCUGCAGAUUUGAGGAAGCCUGCUCCUAGUACGAGAGGACCGGAGUGGACACACCUCUGGUGUAUCGGUUGUCACGCCAGUGGCAUUGCCGAGUAGCUAAGUGUGGAAGAGAUAACCGCUGAAAGCAUCUAAGCGGGAAACUCGUUUCAAGAUGAGAUCUGCCGGGGCCUUGAGCCCCCUAAAGAGUCGUUCAAGACCAGGACGUUGAUAGGUCAGGUGUGGAAGC
Molecule: ribosomal RNA, 1247 nt
Filed under: metagenome
Description: bacterial LSU rRNA
Rfam family: Bacterial large subunit ribosomal RNA
Source: RNAcentral